UACAGGGGGGGCAAGCGUUGUUCGGAAUUACUGGGCGUAAAGGGCGCGUAGGCGGUUCGGCAAGUCUCUAGUGAAAUCUCAGGGCUUAACUCUGAGUCUGCUGGGGAAACUGCCGGGCUUGAGUGUGGGAGAGGAGAGUGGAAUUUCCGGUGUAGCGGUGAAAUGCGUAGAUAUCGGAAGGAACACCUGUGGCGAAAGCGGCUCUCUGGACCACAACUGACGCUGAGGCGCGAAAGCUAGGGGAGCAAACAGG
This 253-nucleotide ribosomal RNA is filed under the name uncultured bacterium. RNAcentral's name for it is "partial 16S ribosomal RNA". It matches the Rfam family "Bacterial small subunit ribosomal RNA", at positions 524 to 776 of the family's 1533-position model. The record is from RNAcentral.